UGGCAUAGGCCCCCAUGUAUCCAAAUGGAUAAGUUGAAAGGGAUGAGAUGUUUUGAUAGAACUCUCAGGAAAAGAGAGCCUGGAUUGUCUGGCUAAUGGACAAAUAGUACAUAUAAAAGGUUGUUUAUUUGCAAACUUACAUGGAAGAGAAGAUAUAUCUUUCAUUCUUACAAAAGGGAUGUGUCCAAGUCUAUUAUGCCACAGUAUUUCCAUCUUAUUCAAUGCAGUAUGUAAAGUACAAUGAGAAGUAGAGUUUAACAACUAAUGGGGAAGAAGAAGAUUGAGAAGGAGUAGAAGGAGAUGAUUGCACAAGCCUG
This 317-nucleotide long non-coding RNA is filed under the name Nicotiana benthamiana. RNAcentral's name for it is "long non-coding RNA (NBEN_LNC008602)". The record is from RNAcentral. Lineage: Eukaryota; Viridiplantae; Streptophyta; Magnoliopsida; Solanales; Solanaceae.